GAGUCUAACUGGGCGUAAGUUGCAGGGUAUAGACCCGAAACCCGGUGAUCUAGCCAUGGGCAGGUUGAAGGUUGGGUAACACUAACUGGAGGACCGAACGACUAAUGUUGAAAAAUUAGCGGAUGACUUGUGGCUGGGGGUGAAAGGCCAAUCAAACCGGGAGAUAGGCUGGUUCUCCCCGAAAGCUAUUUAGGUAGCGCCUCGUGAACUCAUCUUCGGGGGUAGAGCACUGUUUCGGCUAGGGGGUCAUCCCGACUUACCAACC
This 265-nucleotide ribosomal RNA is filed under the name Klebsiella pneumoniae. RNAcentral's name for it is "partial 23S ribosomal RNA". It matches the Rfam family "Bacterial large subunit ribosomal RNA", at positions 679 to 944 of the family's 2925-position model. The record is from RNAcentral. Lineage: Bacteria; Pseudomonadati; Pseudomonadota; Gammaproteobacteria; Enterobacterales; Enterobacteriaceae.